AGGCUAAUGAUGAUAAAUUUUAUAUCUUAGUGGGUUUUGAGCGAGAUUUUAUCAAUGAUCUGAGUGCUACAUACACUGAAGCCU
Molecule: small nucleolar RNA, 84 nt
Organism: Papaver somniferum (opium poppy)
Lineage: Eukaryota; Viridiplantae; Streptophyta; Magnoliopsida; Ranunculales; Papaveraceae
Product: small nucleolar RNA R11/Z151
Exons: 1
Source: RefSeq, a predicted model, not a curated record